Molecule: non-coding RNA, 884 nt
Organism: Meleagris gallopavo (turkey)
Lineage: Eukaryota; Metazoa; Chordata; Aves; Galliformes; Phasianidae
Source: RefSeq, a predicted model, not a curated record
GCGGCCCAAUGGGGAGCGGGGAACAAGGGGAAGGCAGUGGCUGGCCCAGUCGCGAAGCGCAAAGUUCGGAGCGAGGCGGAGACAGGGAACGAGAGCUGCCCAAUCAGCCGUCAGAGACAGAACCGGGAACGAAAAGAAGGGGAUAAGGCAGCCAAUGGCGACACGAGGCGGAGGGCGGGCGCGAACGGACUGGGUGUUGUGUCCAAUGACAGGGGGAGCAGCAGGGCGGUGCCUGAGGCGGCAGCCAAUGGGGCACUUGGGCGGGCUGGCGGACCAAUGGUCGACGGUGUGUGGGCAUCUGCUGCAGUUGGUGCUCCUGCAGUUCCCAACAGUGCUCUGAUCGCUGGAGCAGGAGGAGGGCUACGGCCGAAAAGAAUAUCCAAUGAUAACAACACUGAGUACCUGCACACUUACUCAAAGAAUGGGAUGUAGGGUUUCUUGGUAGGCUCCAUGUCACCUGAGAAAAUAUCAUUUCCUGUGUGAAUACCAGGGAGAGGAGGCAUUAGAGAUCUGUGGAGCCAGGGAUUGCAGCCUUCAGCAUCAAGUAGCCUCUGCUGUUCCCUAAAAAGCAUGCAGUGAUCAUUGAAGCUACAGGGAAAGGGAAAAGAACUGACAGUGAAUUAGACAGUGGUAGUAAUAAGAAUAUACAAGACUUGCUGUGCUGCAUAAAACUCCUGUGAUGAUGAGGGAGAUAUCUGCAGACUGAUUCCACUUUUGGCCCAGGAAUGCUGUCUGAAAAGCUGAAGGGAAAAGGCCAGUAUAUAUGAAAGUGUGCUGUCUAGAGUGGCAGAAAGCUGUGCCCACGCUUGGUCUCAGUCGCUGCAAGAAGGUUUCCAUCAUCUCAAGAUUUGUGUAAGGAGCCAUCCCCUUAUGAACAGGCAAGU